AUUGAACGCUGGCGGCAGGCCUAACACAUGCAAGUCGAGCGGAUGAAGGGAGCUUGCUCCUGGAUUCAGCGGCGGACGGGUGAGUAAUGCCUAGGAAUCUGCCUGGUAGUGGGGGAUAACGUCCGGAAACGGGCGCUAAUACCGCAUACGUCCUGUGGGAGAACGUGGGGGUUCUUCGGACCUCACGCUAUCAGAUGAGCCUAGGGCGGAUUAGCUAGUUGGUGGGGUAAAGGCCUACUAAGGCGACGAUCCGUAACUGGUCUGAGAGGAUGAUCAGUCACACUGGAACUGAGACACGGUCCAGACGCCUACGGGAGGCAGCAGUGGGGAAUAUUAGACAAUGGGCGGAAGCCUGAUCCAGCCAUGCCGCGUGUGGGAAGAAGGUCUUCGGAGUGUAAGGCACUUUAAGUUGGGAGGAAGGGCAGUAAGUUAAUACUUUUCUGUUUUGACGUUACCAACAUAAGAAGCACCGGCUAACUUCGUG
This 484-nucleotide ribosomal RNA is filed under the name uncultured bacterium. Its description in RNAcentral is "partial 16S ribosomal RNA". It matches the Rfam family "Bacterial small subunit ribosomal RNA", at positions 30 to 507 of the family's 1533-position model. The record is from RNAcentral.